RNAcentral lists this transfer-messenger RNA (314 nucleotides) under Rhizobium leguminosarum. It matches the Rfam family "Alphaproteobacteria transfer-messenger RNA", at positions 98 to 354 of the family's 355-position model. From Rfam's summary of the family: Bacterial tmRNA, also known as 10Sa RNA or SsrA, is named for its dual tRNA and mRNA-like properties. Its role is to liberate the mRNA from a stalled ribosome. Lineage: Bacteria; Pseudomonadati; Pseudomonadota; Alphaproteobacteria; Hyphomicrobiales; Rhizobiaceae. The record is from RNAcentral.
GCCAUCUCAGAGCCUCUCGAUGUCGACCCCCUCUUUUGUAGCUCAUGUAAAGGGCGGUACCCGGCGCCUCCACCAAAAACCGGCGGUCUUAAAGGCCGGCUUUUGAUGGGGGCGAAACAGGAUCGACAAGGGUGUAAAGAUCGUCUUUUUGCUCGGCAUUGUACCGCCGUUAUCGGGCUAAAAUUGUAGUUGCAAACGACAACUAUGCGGAAGCUCGUCUCGCUGCUUAAUCGCGGUGUGACACUUCAAAUAAAGUCCUAGUGGUUCGCACCUCUAGGCGGGGUCCGAAGGCACCUGGCAACAGAAGCCUUCAC